AUGCAUCCACAGGCACAAUCGCCACUGCGGAUUUCGUCUGCCCUGGCGAUCUCAGCGACGGCCAUGACGAGAUGCAUCUCCGAACUCCCCAUCAGCUUCGUGAAAAAAUUCUCAUCGCGUGAUAAGCUGCAACAGAUCGUCACGGCGGCUUCUACCGUUAAGGAUGUUGAACAUGCAUCAGCGGUGAUCCAUAAUUCAAGUGUUGACCAUCGGUGUGCCUCUGCAUCUAGCCAUGGUGUGGCCCAUAUCACUUGCCCUGCUACGUCUGUUGAAAAUACUAGUGCUGCAGAAUAUGAACCGAACUUCAGUAUGGUGGAUGGAGCUUCAGCUACAGAAUCAGGUAAAAGCUUGCAAACUAAAAUGAAUGAGCGAGAAUUUGCUACGCCAAGAAAGAAAGAAAUCAUUCCCCUGUUCAUGAGUUGCUCGUCUUUUACGCCGAGUUGCGACGAAAAAUUGAAGCCUAAAGUAGGGAUGACAUUUGAAGAACUUGAGGCUGUGGAGGAGUUCUACAAGUCGUAUGCACAUCAUGUGGGUUUUGGAGUUCGUGUCGGACAGCAGAAAAAGUUGAACAAAGAAGUGGUUCGGACAAAGCGUUUCAUGUGCAUCAGGGAAGGAUUUAGGACCAAGAAGAACAAGGAGAUUAAAGACCCAUCAAACCAAUCAAAGAAAAGCUGUAAGAAUACAACCACACGAUGCGGUUGUGAUGCACAUAUCUUCGUCAAGUUGUGUGGCGACAACACCCACAAGAUACAAUCAUGGGUUGAGCACUAUAGCCAUGGCCUUGUAUCACCUGAUAAACGUCACUUGAUCAGAUCAAAUCGUAAAUUUAAUGAGAGGGCAAAAAAAUAUGUUGUACACAUGUCACAAAGCAACCAUAGGUACAUUGCCAGGCGUACAGGCUCCUUCAAGUCAGCGAAGGUGGGUUUCUGUAUGUUGGAUGCAGCAAGAGGGACCUGCAAAACUACUACCGUGACCUCAGGCUUAAAAUUAGGAACGCUGAUGCUCAAAUGUUUAUCGCUCAGCUAG
RNAcentral lists this ribosomal RNA (1026 nucleotides) under Triticum aestivum (bread wheat). RNAcentral describes it as "partial small subunit ribosomal RNA". Lineage: Eukaryota; Viridiplantae; Streptophyta; Magnoliopsida; Poales; Poaceae. The record is from RNAcentral.